UACACUCCUGCGGGAGGCAGCAGUGGGGAAUUUUGGACAAUGGGGGCAACCCUGAUCCAGCAAUGCCGCGUGAGUGAAGAAGGCCUUCGGGUUGUAAAGCUCUUUUGUCAGGGAAGAAACGGUGGUGGCGAAUAACUACUACUAAUGACGGUACCUGAAGAAUAAGCACCGGCUAACUACGUGCCAGCAGCCGCGGUAAUACGUAGGGUGCAAGCGUUAAUCGGAAUUACUGGGCGUAAAGCGUGCGCAGGCGGUUGUGUAAGUCAGAUGUGAAAUCCCCGGGCUCAACCUGGGAAUUGCAUUUGAGACUGCACGGCUAGAGUGUGUCAGAGGGGGGUAGAAUUCCACGUGUAGCAGUGAAAUGCGUAGAUAUGUGGAGGAAUACCGAUGGCGAAGGCAGCCCCCUGGGAUAACACUGACGCUCAUGCACGAAAGCGUGGGGAGCAAACAGGAUUAGAAACCCUAGUAGUCCCAUG
This 476-nucleotide ribosomal RNA is filed under the name uncultured organism. RNAcentral's name for it is "partial 16S ribosomal RNA". It matches the Rfam family "Bacterial small subunit ribosomal RNA", at positions 332 to 799 of the family's 1533-position model. The record is from RNAcentral.